RNAcentral lists this unclassified non-coding RNA (671 nucleotides) under Hevea brasiliensis (rubber tree). Lineage: Eukaryota; Viridiplantae; Streptophyta; Magnoliopsida; Malpighiales; Euphorbiaceae. The record is from RNAcentral.
GCAGCAAUUAGAAGAAGAGAAAGUAAAAGAAAGUGAGGGGUGAACAAGCUAGAAAAUCAGCUAAGAGGUUAGUGCCAUAGUCCUUGUUCUUAAUUCCUUCUAAACUUGAAUUUAAACUAAGUUAAGUUGAAAAAUUGAUAGAAAUUGAACGAAAAAUGCAUGAUUAUAUCCUAUGAAAUUUUGGCAGCCUUAGGGUACAUUAGGGUUUCAUUGAUUAGAUUGAAUUAUAGUUGUACAUGGCUGCCAUUGAACAUAAAUUAGAUACUUUGAUUAAUUGAUUGCAUGUAUAUGGAGAAUUGAAAUGGUAGAGUUAGGGUUUGGGCACAAAUUUGAGAUUUUGUUUAUGUAAUGAUGAAAGUGAGUUUUAAUGGUCAAUUAGUGACCAUUUGAGGCAAGUUAACCAUAAUUUGAAGUGAGCUAAUGCAUGGCAAAGUGAAAUGUGCAUGCUGCCUAGAGACAGCAGCAAUGAGGCUGUGAUUCCAGCCCACUUAGACAGCCAUAACUUUGGCUGUGUAGGUUCAAUUGGUGUUUGGCCAAUUGGAAAUAAAACUGGACACAUAAUGGCAUAAUUUUGGUGAAGAAACCAUAGCCAAAAGACCAAAGUAAGUGGACCAAAAAUUGGUCCCAAUCUGGAUGUCCUGCAACCAGAUUCUGCAGAAUGACCAAAUGAA